GACGAACGCUGGCGGCGUGCUUAACACAUGCAAGUCGAACGGAAAGGCCCUGCUCUUGUGGGGUGCUCGAGUGGCGAACGGGUGAGUAACACGUGAGUAACCUGCCCUUGACUUUGGGAUAACUUCAGGAAACUGGGGCUAAUACCGGAUAGGAGCUCCUGCUGCAUGGUGGGGGUUGGAAAGUUUCGGCGGUUGGGGAUGGACGCGCGGGUUAUCAGCUUGUUGGUGGGGUAGUGGCUUACCAAGGCGUUGAAGGGUAGCCGGCCUGAGAGGGUGACCGGCGACCAUGGUACUGCGGUACGGCCCAGACGGCAACGGGGGGCAGCGGUGGGAAAUAUUGCACAAUGGGCGGGAGCCUGAUACAGCGGCGCCGGGGUCGGGAUGACGGCCUUCGGGUUGUAAACCGCUUUCGCCUGGGACGAAGGGUGGGUGACGGUAACGGGUAAAUAAGCACCGGCUAACUACGUG
RNAcentral lists this ribosomal RNA (468 nucleotides) under uncultured bacterium. Its description in RNAcentral is "partial 16S ribosomal RNA". It matches the Rfam family "Bacterial small subunit ribosomal RNA", at positions 28 to 507 of the family's 1533-position model. The record is from RNAcentral.